UAUCCUACGGGACGCAGCAGUGGGGAAUAUUGCACAAUGGGGGAAACCCUGAUGCAGCGACGCCGCGUGAGUGAAGAAGUAAUUCGUUAUGUAAAGCUCUAUCAGCAGGGCAGAAAAUGAGGGUACCUGAGUAAGAAGCCCCGGCUAACUACGUGCCAGCAGCCGCGGUAAUACGUAGGGGGCAAGCGUUAUCCGGAUUUACUGGGUGUAAAGGGAGCGUAGACGGCAGUGCA
Molecule: ribosomal RNA, 233 nt
Filed under: uncultured bacterium
Lineage: Bacteria
Description: partial 16S ribosomal RNA
Rfam family: Bacterial small subunit ribosomal RNA
Source: RNAcentral